Molecule: ribosomal RNA, 983 nt
Filed under: human gut metagenome
Description: bacterial LSU rRNA
Rfam family: Bacterial large subunit ribosomal RNA
Source: RNAcentral
AUAACGGUCCUAAGGUAGCGAAAUUCCUUGUCAGGUAAGUUCUGACCCGCACGAAUGGUGUAAUGAUUUGGGCACUGUCUCAACAGCCCGCCCGGCGAAAUUGUAGUACCGGUGAAGAUGCCGGUUUCCCGCGACAAGACGGAAAGACCCCAUGGAGCUUUACUGCAGCCUAAUAUUGGGUUUCGAUAUUACAUGUACAGGAUAUGUGGGAGACAUGGAAGCACGGGCGUCAGCCUGUGUGGAGUCAGCCUUGGGAUACCACACUUGUGAUAUUGGAAUUCUAACCUGCGGCCCUGAAUCGGGUCGGGGGACAUUGUUAGGCGGGCAGUUUGACUGGGGCGGUCGCCUCCGAAAAAGUAACGGAGGCGUUCAAAGGUUGGCUCAGCUUGGACGGAAACCAAGCCAAAGAGUGCAAACGCAUAAGCCAGCCUAACUGCGAGACUGACGGGUCGAGCAGUAACGAAAGUUGGAGUUAGUGAUCCGGCGGUAUGUGAGUGGAAAUGCCGUCGCUCAACGGAUAAAAGUUACCCUGGGGAUAACAGGCUGAUCUCCCCCAAGAGUCCACAUCGACGGGGAGGUUUGGCACCUCGAUGUCGGCUCAUCGCAUCCUGGGGCUGAAGUAGGUCCCAAGGGUUUGGCUGUUCGCCCAUUAAAGUGGUACGCGAGCUGGGUUCAGAACGUCGUGAGACAGUUCGGUCCCUAUCCGUCGCAGGCGUAGGAAAUUUGAGGAGACCUGUCCUUAGUACGAGAGGACCGGGAUGGACGUACCUCUGGUGUACCAGUUGUCCUGCCAAGGGCAUGGCUGGGUAGCUAUGUACGGAAUGGAUAAGCGCUGAAAGCAUCUAAGCGCGAAGCCAACUUCAAGAUAAGAUUUCCCACCGCAAGGGUAAGACCCCAGAAAGACUAUCUGGUUGAUAGGUCGAAGGUGUAAGUGCAGCAAUGUAUUUAGCUUAUCGAUACUAAUAGGUCGAGGACUUGACCAA